This is a long non-coding RNA of Mugil cephalus (flathead mullet), 728 nucleotides long. RefSeq lists it as uncharacterized. The record is from RefSeq and is a predicted model, not a curated record. The transcript has 2 exons. Lineage: Eukaryota; Metazoa; Chordata; Actinopteri; Mugiliformes; Mugilidae.
UCUACAGAAACCCACAGGGUGGUUAGAGUGAUCGUGUGUGUAAACAGCUUCUCGUGCUUGCACACACUCUUAAAAUUACCAGGUUUCUGUAAACAUAUUUCUGGGUUGUUUUGCUUUCAAUGGGGUAGAAAUGGGUCCAUAUCUGGUUGGGUUAAAUUGACCCAACUCCUGGUUCGUUAAUUUUCACGCUCAUUUAUUGUUGAAAUCUAGUUUUGUCUGGAUCCAAGUGACUGGACAGAAUGAGAGUGAAGAGCACCACAGACACAAGAUUUUUCUGAAACCAUGGAUAAGAAAAGACAAGUAAGAUGCUUCAGUGGAGGAGGAGAACCAAGGAAGAGAAGAAGAAGGAGAAGAAGAUGGAGGAGAAUUGCAAAUCAUUAAAACAAAAGAAGAAUUUUGUGUAUCUUAUUAUGCAAUUGUGUUACCAGUCUGACCCCUUGAGACUAAAAUGAGUUUGACCCACCUGGUCUAGAGAGUGUGUGAGAGUGAGUUUUCAUUUAGAAAUGUUGUUUUGAUCUAAACUAUAUUUGUGUUUUAUUUAUUUAUAUUUACUCUUUAUUUUAUUUAGUUUAUUUACAUGUUUUAAUUCUUCUUUGGUUCUGAAUGUGAUUUUAUACUAUAUUUGUUUCCAAAUUGUCAUUAAAAGUGCCAUUAAAUGAAACAUAGCAGUAGCUUUUAUUUUAGUUUGAUUGUACAAAUAACAAUAAAUUAAACAUAAUUUUUUAUAA